UUGGAGGGCAAGUCUGGUGCCAGCAGCCGCGGUAAUUCCAGCCCCAAUAGCGUAUAUUAAAGUUGUUGCAGUUAAAAAGCUCGUAGUUGAAUUUCGGGGUUUAUCCGUCGGUCGGGCUUUUGGGUCUGUACUGGCGUGAUGGAUUCCUACCUUCUGAAUAACCGGCAUGUCAUUAAUUUGGUGCGCCGGGGAAGCAGGACUGUUACCUUGAAAAAAUUAGAGUGCUUAAAGCAGGCUUAUGCCUGAAUACAUUAGCAUGGAAUAAUGAAAUAGGACGGCAUGGUUCUAUUUUGUUGGUUUCUAGGAUCACCGUAAUGAUUAAUAGGGAUAGUUGGGGGCAUUAGUAUUCAAUUGUCAGAGGUGAAAUUCUUGGAUUUAUUGAAGACUAACUUCUGCGAAAGCAUUUGCCAAGGAUGUUUUCAUUAAUCAAGAACGAAAGUUAGGGGAUCGAAGACGAUCAGAUACCGUCGUAGUCUUAACCAUAAACUAUGCCGACUAGGGAUCGGACGAUGUUAAUUUUUUAAUGACUCGUUCGGCGCCUUACGGGAAAC
RNAcentral lists this ribosomal RNA (551 nucleotides) under uncultured Acaulosporaceae. RNAcentral describes it as "SSU rRNA". It matches the Rfam family "Eukaryotic small subunit ribosomal RNA", at positions 548 to 1098 of the family's 1831-position model. Lineage: Eukaryota; Fungi; Glomeromycota; Glomeromycetes; Diversisporales; Acaulosporaceae. The record is from RNAcentral.